UACGGAGGGGGCUAGCGUUGUUCGGAAUUACUGGGCGUAAAGCGCACGUAGGCGGACUGUUAAGUCGGGGGUGAAAACUUGGGGCUUAACCCUGAGCUUGCGGUCGAUACGGGCAUGACUGGAGUUCGGCAGGGGAGACUGGAAUUCCUGGUGUAGCGGUGAAAUGCGCAGAUAUCAGGAGGAACACCGGUGGCGAAGGCGGGUCUCUGGGCCGAUACUGACGCUGAGGAGCGAAAGCGUGGGGAGCGAACAGG
This 254-nucleotide ribosomal RNA is filed under the name uncultured bacterium. RNAcentral describes it as "partial 16S ribosomal RNA". It matches the Rfam family "Bacterial small subunit ribosomal RNA", at positions 524 to 776 of the family's 1533-position model. The record is from RNAcentral.